CGGUUAGCUCAGUGGUAGAGCGCCUGCCUUACAAGCAGGUGGUCACAGGUUCGAAUCCUGUACCGC
RNAcentral lists this transfer RNA (66 nucleotides) under Emiliania huxleyi. It matches the Rfam family "tRNA". From Rfam's summary of the family: Transfer RNA (tRNA) molecules are approximately 80 nucleotides in length. RNAcentral also lists the same sequence under 2 other names. Lineage: Eukaryota; Haptophyta; Isochrysidales; Noelaerhabdaceae. The record is from RNAcentral.